Molecule: ribosomal RNA, 458 nt
Filed under: uncultured Pseudomonas sp.
Lineage: Bacteria; Pseudomonadati; Pseudomonadota; Gammaproteobacteria; Pseudomonadales; Pseudomonadaceae
Description: bacterial SSU rRNA
Rfam family: Bacterial small subunit ribosomal RNA
Source: RNAcentral
AUUGAACGCUGGCGGCAGGCCUAACACAUGCAAGUCGAGCGGCAGCACGGGUACUUGUACCUGGUGGCGAGCGGCGGACGGGUGAGUAAUGCCUAGGAAUCUGCCUGGUAGUGGGGGAUAACGCUCGGAAACGGACGCUAAUACCGCAUACGUCCUACGGGAGAAAGCGGGGGACCUUCGGGCCUCGCGCCAUUAGAUGAGCCUAGGUCGGAUUAGCUAGUUGGUGAGGUAAUGGCUCACCAAGGCUACGAUCCGUAACUGGUCUGAGAGGAUGAUCAGUCACACUGGAACUGAGACACGGUCCAGACUCCUACGGGAGGCAGCAGUGGGGAAUAUUGGACAAUGGGCGAAAGCCUGAUCCAGCCAUGCCGCGUGUGUGGAGAAGGUCUUCGGAUUGUAAAGCACUUUAAGUUGGGAGGAAGGGUAGUAACUUAAUACGUUGCUACUUUGACGUACCG